This 340-nucleotide ribosomal RNA is filed under the name uncultured Pseudomonadota bacterium. RNAcentral's name for it is "bacterial SSU rRNA". It matches the Rfam family "Bacterial small subunit ribosomal RNA", at positions 29 to 351 of the family's 1533-position model. The record is from RNAcentral. Lineage: Bacteria; Pseudomonadati; Pseudomonadota.
AACGAACGCUGGCGGCGUGCUUAACACAUGCAAGUCGCACGAGAAAGUUCCGGCAACGGAAUGAGUAAAGUGGCGAACGGGUGAGUAACACGUGGGUAAUUUGCCUUUAAGUUGAGGAUAACCUCGCGAAAGCGGGGCUAAUACUCAAUAAGACCACGAUAGCUUAGGCUAUUGCGGUAAAAGGAGGCCUCUGAUACAAGCUUUCGCUUAGAGAGAAGCCCGCGGACCAUUAGCUUGUUGGUAGGGUAAUGGCCUACCAAGGCUACGAUGGUUAGCUGGUCUGAGAGGAUGGCCAGCCACACUGGAACUGAGACACGGUCCAGACUCCUACGGGUGGCAG